AGCAGCCGCGGUAAUUCCAGCCCCAAUAGCGUAUAUUAAAGUUGCUGCAGUUAAAAAGACUCGUAGUUGAAUUUCGGGACCAAUAUGUCGGUCGUGCCUCGGUACGUACUGGCAUCGUUGGUUUCUCCCUUCUGACGAACCAUGAUGUCAUUUAUUUGGUGUCGUGGGGAAUCAGGACUGUUACUUUGAAAAAAUUAGAGUGUUUAAAGCAGGCUCACGCUUGAAUACAUUAGCAUGGAAUAAUGAAAUAGGACGUUUGAUUCUAUUUUGUUGGUUUCUAGGAUCGACGUAAUGAUUAAUAGGGAUAGUUGGGGGCAUUAGUAUUCAAUUGUCAGAGGUGAAAUUCUUGGAUUUAUUGAAGACUAACUACUGCGAAAGCAUUUGCCAAGGAUGUUUUCAUUAAUCAAGAACGAAAGUUAGGGGAUCGAAGACGAUCAGAUACCGUCGUAGUCUUAACCAUAAACUAUGCCGACUAGGGAUCGGAUGAUGUUAAUUUUUAAUGACUCAUUCGGCGCCUUAA
RNAcentral lists this ribosomal RNA (520 nucleotides) under uncultured Glomus. Its description in RNAcentral is "SSU rRNA". It matches the Rfam family "Eukaryotic small subunit ribosomal RNA", at positions 569 to 1091 of the family's 1831-position model. Lineage: Eukaryota; Fungi; Glomeromycota; Glomeromycetes; Glomerales; Glomeraceae. The record is from RNAcentral.